RNAcentral lists this ribosomal RNA (497 nucleotides) under uncultured bacterium. RNAcentral's name for it is "partial 16S ribosomal RNA". It matches the Rfam family "Bacterial small subunit ribosomal RNA", at positions 28 to 507 of the family's 1533-position model. The record is from RNAcentral.
GAUGAACGCUGGCGGCGUGCCUAAUACAUGCAAGUCGAGCGAACAGACGAGGCGCUUACUCCUCUGACGUUUGCGGCGGACGGGUGUGUAACACGUGGAUCACCUACCUAUAUGACUGGGAUAACUUCGGGAAACCGGCGCUAAUACCGGAUAACAUGUUGCACCGCAUGGUUCAACAGUGAAAGUCGGUCUUGCUGUCACUUAUAGCUGGAUCCGCGUCGCAUUAGCUAGUUGGUAAGGUAACGGCUUACCAAGGCAACGAUGCGUAACCGACCGGAGAGGGGGAUCGGCCACACUGGAACGGAGACACGGUCCAUACUCCUACGGGAGGCAGCAGUAGGGAAUCGUCCGCAAUAGUCGAAAGCCUUACGGAGCAGCGCCGCGUGAGUGGAGAAGGUCUUCGGAUCGGAAAACCCUGUUAUUAGGGAAGAACAAAUGUGUAAGUAACUAUACACGUCUUGACGGUACCUAAUCAGAAAGCCACGGCUAACUACGUG